This 128-nucleotide small nucleolar RNA is filed under the name Carassius auratus (goldfish). RNAcentral describes it as "Small nucleolar RNA SNORA65 (ENSCARG00000000207.1)". It matches the Rfam family "Small nucleolar RNA SNORA65". From Rfam's summary of the family: U65 belongs to the H/ACA class of snoRNAs which are thought to guide the sites of modification of uridines to pseudouridines. Lineage: Eukaryota; Metazoa; Chordata; Actinopteri; Cypriniformes; Cyprinidae. The record is from Rfam by way of RNAcentral.
CCCGCCACUGUGCUAGUCUGUAAAAGGGACUGUGUACUGUCCAGAGGAGGCUAAAAAUAACCCAGUUCUAGGAAGCAGGAAUACUCAAACUCAGUGGUUAAACCUGUGCCAAAAAGCCUGGAACAUGU